CCCUUAGAUGUUCUGGGUCGCACGCGUGCUACACUGAGUGGAUCAGCGGGUCAGGUUGCGCGAAAGUGUUUCCUAAUCUUGAAAUCCGCUCGUGAUGGGGAUUGACGGUUGCAAUUUUCCGUCAUGAACGAGGAAUACCUUGUAAGCGCGGGUCAUCAUCCCGCGCUGAAUACGUCCCUGCCCUUUGUACACACCGCCCGUCGCUCCUACCGAUUGAGUGGUCCGGUGAGGCUUUGGGAUCUGAGCAAAAAGAGCGUUUCGCUCGUUUGGCUCGGAAAACUCAGUCGAACCUUAUCAUUUAGAGGAAGGAGAAGUCGUAACA
RNAcentral lists this ribosomal RNA (322 nucleotides) under uncultured eukaryote. Its description in RNAcentral is "partial 18S ribosomal RNA". It matches the Rfam family "Eukaryotic small subunit ribosomal RNA", at positions 1470 to 1796 of the family's 1831-position model. The record is from RNAcentral.